Molecule: ribosomal RNA, 498 nt
Filed under: uncultured bacterium
Lineage: Bacteria
Description: partial 16S ribosomal RNA
Rfam family: Bacterial small subunit ribosomal RNA
Source: RNAcentral
ACGCACGCUGGCGGCGUGCCUCAUCCCUGCAAGUCGAGCGGACUUUCAAGAAGCUUGCUUUUUGAAAGUUAGCGGCGGACGGGUGAGUAACACGUGGGCAACCUGCCUGCAAGACGGGGAUAACUCCGGGAAACCGGGGCUAAUACCGGAUAAUAUCUUCCUUCGCAUGAAGGAAGGUUGAAAGGCGGCGCAAGCUGCCGCUUGCAGAUGGGCCCGCGGCGCAUUAGCUAGUUGGUGAGGUAACGGCUCACCAAGGCGACGAUGCGUAGCCGACCUGAGAGGGUGAUCGGCCACACUGGGACUGAGACACGGCCCAGACUCCUACGGGAGGCAGCAGUAGGGAAUCUUCCGCAAUGGACGAAAGUCUGACGGAGCAACGCCGCGUGAGCGAAGAAGGUCUUCGGAUCGUAAAGCUCUGUUGUCAGGGAAGAACAAGUACCGUUCGAACAGGGCGGUACCUUGACGGUACCUGACCAGAAAGCCACGGCUAACUACGUG